AUUGAACGCUGGCGGCAGGCCUAACACAUGCAAGUCGAGCGGAGCGGCGGAGGGGUGCGUAAUGCUUAGGAAUCUGCCAGGUAGCGGGGGAGAACGUACAGAAACGGGCGCUAUUACCGCAUCCUAUCACAUGAGCAUAGGUCGGAAUAGCAUGUUGGUGGGGUAAUGGCCUACCAAGGCGACGAUCCGUAACUGGUCUGAGUGGAUGAUCAGUCACACUGGAACGGAGAAACGGUCCAGACUCCUACGGGAGGCAGCAGUGGGGAAUAUUGGACAAUGGGCGAAAGCCUGAUGCAGCCAUGCCGCGGGUGUGAAGAAGGUCUUCGGAUUGUAAAGCACUUUAAGUGGGGAGGCGGUACCAGCAGAAUAAGCACCGGCUAACUUCGUGCCAGCAGCCGCGGUAAUUC
This 407-nucleotide ribosomal RNA is filed under the name uncultured bacterium. RNAcentral describes it as "partial 16S ribosomal RNA". It matches the Rfam family "Bacterial small subunit ribosomal RNA", at positions 30 to 526 of the family's 1533-position model. The record is from RNAcentral.